Molecule: long non-coding RNA, 327 nt
Filed under: Carica papaya (papaya)
Lineage: Eukaryota; Viridiplantae; Streptophyta; Magnoliopsida; Brassicales; Caricaceae
Description: long non-coding RNA (CPAP_LNC007025)
Source: RNAcentral
UCCUUUACUACAAAAUCAAAGGUUCAUUCACACCUGAGGCCAAAGCUUGGUUACCAAAAUAUGAAUAUACAAAAGUAAGAGUCAUUACAAUAAUUACAAAAAGGUGUCAACAGAGUGCGGACAAAAUAUUACACUCAUAAAUAUCCUAAGGAUCCAGGAAGGGAUCCAAACAAGCUUAAAGGGGCAACUCAACGAAUGAAUCAUCACUCCCAUCAUCUUAAUGAGGCAUAGAUUAGGGUGAAUUUCAUAAACUCAGUAAGGAAAAUAAUAUUUAAACAACACAACUAAGGUUUAUAAAGGUGAUUAAUUUUUAGAAUAAAACAUCAU